CAGCAGCCGCGGGAAUACGUAGGGUGCAAGCGUUAAUCGGAAUUACUGGGCGUAAAGCGUGCGCAGGCGGUUAUAUAAGUCAGAUGUGAAAUCCCCGGGCUCAACCUGGGAACUGCAUUUGAGACUGUAUGGCUAGAGUGUGUCAGAGGGGGGUAGAAUUCCACGUGUAGCAGUGAAAUGCGUAGAUAUGUGGAGGAAUACCGAUGGCGAAGGCAGCCCCCUGGGAUAACACUGACGCUCAUGCACGAAAGCGUGGGGAGCAAACAGGAUUAGAGACCCCUGUAGUCCCUGUCUCUUAUAC
Molecule: ribosomal RNA, 301 nt
Filed under: uncultured bacterium
Lineage: Bacteria
Description: partial 16S ribosomal RNA
Rfam family: Bacterial small subunit ribosomal RNA
Source: RNAcentral